CCUACGGGAGGCAGCAGUGGGGAAUAUUGGACAAUGGGCGCAAGCCUGACGCAGCAACGCCGCGUGAAGGAAGAAGGCUUUCGGGUUGUAAAGUUCUUUUCUCAGGGACGAAGCAGGUGACGGUACCUGAGGAAUAAGCCACUGCUAACUACGUGGCAGCAGCCGCGGUAAUACGUAGGUGGCAAGCGUUCUCCGGAUUUACUGGGUGUAAAGGGAGAGUAGGCGGGAAAGCAAGUCAGAUGUGAAAACCAUGGGCUCAACCUGGGGCCUGCAUUUGAAACUGUGUUUAUUGAGUGCUGGAGAGGCAGACGGAAUUCCUAGUGUAGCGGUGAAAUGCGUAGAUAUUAGGAGGAACACCAGUGGCGAAGGCGGUCUGCUGGACAGCAACUGACGCUGAGGCGCGAAAGCGUGGGGAGCAAACAGGAUUAGAUACCCUUGUAGUC
RNAcentral lists this ribosomal RNA (443 nucleotides) under uncultured bacterium. RNAcentral's name for it is "partial 16S ribosomal RNA". It matches the Rfam family "Bacterial small subunit ribosomal RNA", at positions 338 to 795 of the family's 1533-position model. The record is from RNAcentral.